CUGCAUGAAGUCGGAAUUGCUAGUAAUCGCGGAUCAGAAUGCCGCGGUGAAUACGUUCCCGGGCCUUGUACACACCGCCCGUCACACCAUGGGAGUCGGUAACACCCGAAGUCGGUGGUCUAACCGCAAGGAGGACGCCGCCGAAGGUGGGAUUGAUGACUGGGGUGAAGUCGUAACAAGGUACC
RNAcentral lists this ribosomal RNA (185 nucleotides) under uncultured bacterium. Its description in RNAcentral is "partial 16S ribosomal RNA". It matches the Rfam family "Bacterial small subunit ribosomal RNA", at positions 1316 to 1500 of the family's 1533-position model. The record is from RNAcentral.